UAAAUUAGAAUAUGGACAACUCAUAUAUGCCCAUGAAAUGGAUGGGCGUUUCUACCGACUACCAAAACAGUUGACUAUGAGGCUUAUUUAAACAAGC
RNAcentral lists this non-coding RNA (97 nucleotides) under Agrilactobacillus composti. RNAcentral's name for it is "Lactobacillus composti Guanine sequence". It matches the Rfam family "Purine riboswitch aptamer". From Rfam's summary of the family: Riboswitches are metabolite binding domains within certain messenger RNAs that serve as precision sensors for their corresponding targets. The record is from RNAcentral. RNAcentral also lists the same sequence under 1 other name. Lineage: Bacteria; Bacillati; Bacillota; Bacilli; Lactobacillales; Lactobacillaceae.